This 447-nucleotide ribosomal RNA is filed under the name uncultured bacterium. RNAcentral's name for it is "bacterial SSU rRNA". It matches the Rfam family "Bacterial small subunit ribosomal RNA", at positions 330 to 792 of the family's 1533-position model. The record is from RNAcentral.
CCCAGACUCCUACGGGAGGCAGCAGUGGGGAAUAUUGGGCAAUGGGCGAAAGCCUGACCCAGCAAUGCCGCGUGAAUGAAGAAGGUCUUAGGAUUGUAAAAUUCUGUCCUAUGGGAAGAAACAAAUGACGGUACCAUAGGAGGAAGCCCCGGCUAACUACGUGCCAGCAGCCGCGGUAAUACGUAGGGGGCGAGCGUUGUCCGGAAUUACUGGGCGUAAAGCGCGCGUAGGCGGCCUGUUAGGUCGGGGGUCAAAUACCGGGGCUCAACCCCGGUCCGCCCCCGAUACCGGCAGGCUUGAGUCUGGUAGGGGAAGGCGGAAUUCCCAGUGUAGCGGUGGAAUGCGCAGAUAUUGGGAAGAACACCGGCGGCGAAGGCGGCCUUCUGGGCCACGACUGACGCUGAGGCGUGAAAGCUAGGGGAGCGAACAGGAUUAGAUACCCUAGUA